GUUACUGGUGCUGGCUUCAAACUUGUGAUCCUCCUGCCUCAGCAUCCCAAGUUGCCAGGAUUACAGGCAUAUACCACUGCACCCAGCAAUGCCAGAUCAUUUGAAAAAGGAGUUUCCUGAAGCAGGAGACCUCUGCUAUAUUCCUUGUCCUCUUCCUUGAAAGAAGCCCAUUAUUUCAAGAUCAGUAGUUUGGGAGGCUGAGAAGUCCAAGAGCAUCGUGCCAGCCCCUCCUUGCUUCUGGUGAGGCCUUGGUGCUGCAUCCUAACAGGGUGAAAAAACAGAAGGGCCAGUGAGAGUGUGUGGAUAAAGCAAAACAGGAGGGGCACUGACCUCUGAAACAACAAGGCCUUCUGUCUUCUAGAGUUUCACUUUCUGGAUUUUACUUGUGGUGGUGUUUUCAGUGAAGUUUUGAAGAAGGAUAAAAAAAACCCUGGAACUUGAGCUGGAGCCCCUGGGCUGUCCCAAGGCACAGACCUACUGCCUAGAGGGUGUGAGGGAGGAAGGAAACUCAAAAAAGAAGGUUCGCUGGUUGUUGU
Ictidomys tridecemlineatus (thirteen-lined ground squirrel) is the source of this 536-nucleotide long non-coding RNA. RefSeq lists it as uncharacterized. The record is from RefSeq and is a predicted model, not a curated record. Lineage: Eukaryota; Metazoa; Chordata; Mammalia; Rodentia; Sciuridae.